AGGGAAUCUUCCGCAAUGGACGCAAGUCUGACGGAGCAACGCCGCGUGAACGAUGAAGGCCUUCGGGUCGUAAAGUUCUGUUGUUAGGGAAGAACAAGUACCAUUCGAAUAGGGUGGUACCUUGACGGUACCUAACCAGAAAGCCACGGCUAACUACGUGCCAGCAGCCGCGGUAAUACGUAGGUGGCAAGCGUUGUCCGGAAUUAUUGGGCGUAAAGCGCGCGCAGGCGGUCUUUUAAGUCUGAUGUGAAAGCCCCCGGCUCAACCGGGGAGGGUCAUUGGAAACUGGGAGACUUGAGUGCAGAAGAGGAGAGUGGAAUUCCAUGUGUAGCGGUGAAAUGCGUAGAGAUAUGGAGGAACACCAGUGGCGAAGGCGACUCUCUGGUCUGUAACUGACGCUGAGGCGCGAAAGCGUGGGGAGCAAAC
RNAcentral lists this ribosomal RNA (426 nucleotides) under uncultured bacterium. Its description in RNAcentral is "bacterial SSU rRNA". It matches the Rfam family "Bacterial small subunit ribosomal RNA", at positions 356 to 773 of the family's 1533-position model. The record is from RNAcentral.